RNAcentral lists this ribosomal RNA (277 nucleotides) under uncultured Bacteroides sp. Its description in RNAcentral is "partial 16S ribosomal RNA". It matches the Rfam family "Bacterial small subunit ribosomal RNA", at positions 68 to 339 of the family's 1533-position model. Lineage: Bacteria; Pseudomonadati; Bacteroidota; Bacteroidia; Bacteroidales; Bacteroidaceae. The record is from RNAcentral.
CAGCAUGAACUUAGCUUGCUAAGUUUGAUGGCGACCGGCGCACGGGUGAGUAACACGUAUCCAACCUGCCCACCACUUGGGGAUAGCCUUUCGAAAGAAAGAUUAAUACCUGAUAGUAUGGUGAGAUUGCAUGAUAGCACCAUUAAAGAUUUAUUGGUAAACGAUGGGGAUGCGUUCCAUUAGGUAGUAGGCGGGGUAACGGCCCACCUAGCCGACGAUGGAUAGGGGUUCUGAGAGGAAGGUCCCCACAUUGGAACUGAGACACGGUCCAAACUCC